Molecule: small RNA, 290 nt
Filed under: Rhodoferax ferrireducens T118
Lineage: Bacteria; Pseudomonadati; Pseudomonadota; Betaproteobacteria; Burkholderiales; Comamonadaceae
Description: 5' ureB small RNA
Rfam family: 5' ureB small RNA
Source: Rfam by way of RNAcentral
CCUCUUCAAUCAGUUGCGGGCAAAUGAAGUGGAUGUGGCUGUCAAAACCACCGGCGGUGACGAUGCUGCCUUCGCAGCUGAUGACUUCGGUGCCCGGGCCGAUGAUGAUGUCCACGCCCGGCUGGGUGUCUGGGUUGCCGGCUUUGCCGAUGGCCACGAUGCGGCUGUCUUUGAGGCCAAUGUCGGCCUUGACAAUGCCCCAGUGGUCAAUGAUCAGGGCAUUUGUCAUGACGGUAUCAACCGCGCCCUCGGCCCGGCUGCGCUGCGACUGCGCCAUGCCAUCGCGGAUG